UGUUCAGCAGUAAAUCGUAUAGCCUGAGUAAUGGCUUGCUGUACUGAUGAGAACUAUACAUCACUAUAAAUUUAUACACAUAUAUAUGUAUAUAUAUAUGUAUAUAUGUAUAUAGUUGUAUAUAAAUACUAAUACUAAAAUCUACUCUGUAAAUUGCAGACAUAAAGAAGAUGAAUUGAAGUAUUUUCUUAUAGAUUUUUUUUUUUAUUGAUUAUCUUUUUAUAAAAAGAAAAUCAGCCAGCCCCAAUU
Microplitis mediator is the source of this 249-nucleotide long non-coding RNA. RefSeq lists it as uncharacterized. The record is from RefSeq and is a predicted model, not a curated record. NCBI's taxonomy places the organism in Eukaryota, Metazoa, Arthropoda, Insecta, Hymenoptera, Braconidae. The transcript is spliced from 2 exons.